GUAAUAGAUUUAUAGGCACAAGGGCCCAUUGAUUACAUUCUAUAAACAUACAUGAGGUUAUAUGAAAAAACAUAGACCUGAAAACAUAAGAAGAGACCAAAAAAAAAGGUCAAUCCUCAAUCCUGAAUGAUAAUAAGUCAUUCAGAGAGAUGCUCAGGUCUACAAAAGGUUCACAGGUGAAGAUACAAAGAUGACAAGUGUGCACAUGCUCUCUAGAGAACCAGCAGCAACUUAUCAGGUUUAUUUCAAUAAUGAUCCUUCCGCAGGUUCACCUACGGAAA
RNAcentral lists this unclassified non-coding RNA (281 nucleotides) under uncultured fungus. RNAcentral's name for it is "sequence contains ITS1". Lineage: Eukaryota; Fungi. The record is from RNAcentral.